Molecule: ribosomal RNA, 449 nt
Filed under: uncultured bacterium
Lineage: Bacteria
Description: partial 16S ribosomal RNA
Rfam family: Bacterial small subunit ribosomal RNA
Source: RNAcentral
AACGAACGCUGGCGGCAGGCUUAACACAUGCAAGUCGAACGCAUCCUUCGGGGUGAGUGGCAGACGGGUGAGCAACGCGUGGGAACGUGCCCUUCAGUUCGGGAUAACCCAGGGAAACUUGGGCUAAUACCGGAUACGUGCGAGAGCAGAAAGAUUUAUCGCUGAAGGAUCGGCCCGCGUCUGAUUAGCUAGUUGGUGGGGUAAUGGCCCACCAAGGCGACGAUCAGUAGCUGGUCUGAGAGGAUGAUCAGCCACAUUGGGACUGAGACACGGCCCAAACUCCUACGGGAGGCAGCAGUGGGGAAUAUUGGACAAUGGGCGCAGGCCUGAUCCAGCCAUGCCGCGUGAGUGAUGAAGGCCUUAGGGUUGUAAAGCUCUUUCGUCCGGGACGAUAAUGACGGUACCGGAAGAAGAAGCCCCGGCUAACUUCGUGCCAGCCGCCGCAGUAA